Molecule: long non-coding RNA, 516 nt
Filed under: Salmo salar (Atlantic salmon)
Lineage: Eukaryota; Metazoa; Chordata; Actinopteri; Salmoniformes; Salmonidae
Description: lncRNA (ENSSSAG00000119990.1)
Source: RNAcentral
GAGGACUAGUGACUGGUUGGCUACUUUUAGGAGGACUAGUGACUGGUUGGCUACUUUUAGGAGGACUAGUGACUGGUUGGCUACUUUUAGGAGGACUAGUGACUGGUUGGCUACUUUUAGGAGGACUAGUGACUGGUUGGCUACUUUUAGGAGGACUAGUGACUGGUUGGCUACUUUUAGGAGGACUACCAAGGAACUAGUGACUGGUUGGCUACUUUUAGGUGGACUACCAAGGGGCUAGUGACUGGUUGGCUACUUUUAGGUGGACUACCAAGGGGCUAGUGACUGGUUGGCUACUUUUAGGUGGACUACCAAGGGGCUAGUGACUGGUUGGCUACUUUUAGGUGGACUACCAAGGGGCUAGUGACUGGUUGGCUACUUUUAGGAGGACUACCAAGGGGCUAGUGACUGGUUGGCUACUUUUAGGAGGGCUAGUGACUGGUUGGCUACUUUUAGGGGGACUAGUGACUGGUUGGCUACUUUUAGGGGGACUAGUGACUGGUUGGCUACUUUUAG